GUAAAAGUCGUAACAAGGUCUCCGUUGGUGAACCAGCGGAGGGAUCAUUACCGAGUUUACAACUCCCAAACCCCUGUGAACAUACCACUUGUUGCCUCGGCGGAUCAGCCCGCUCCCGGUAAAACGGGACGGCCCGCCAGAGGACCCCUAAACUCUGUUUCUAUAUGUAACUUCUGAGUAAAACCAUAAAUAAAUCAAAACUUUCAACAACGGAUCUCUUGGUUCUGGCAUCGAUGAAGAACGCAGCAAAAUGCGAUAAGUAAUGUGAAUUGCAGAAUUCAGUGAAUCAUCGAAUCUUUGAACGCACAUUGCGCCCGCCAGUAUUCUGGCGGGCAUGCCUGUUCGAGCGUCAUUUCAACCCUCAAGCACAGCUUGGUGUUGGGACUCGCGUUAAUUCGCGUUCCCCAAAUUGAUUGGCGGUCACGUCGAGCUUCCAUAGCGUAGUAGUAAAACCCUCGUUACUGGUAAUCGUCGCGGCCACGCCGUUAAACCCCAACUUCUGAAUGUUGACCUCGGAUCAGGUAGGAAUACCCGCUGAACUUAAGCA
RNAcentral lists this ribosomal RNA (547 nucleotides) under Fusarium oxysporum. RNAcentral describes it as "eukaryotic LSU rRNA". The stretch from base 199 to 352 matches the Rfam family "5.8S ribosomal RNA". Lineage: Eukaryota; Fungi; Ascomycota; Sordariomycetes; Hypocreales; Nectriaceae. The record is from RNAcentral.